ACUCAAAUGAAUUGACGGGGGCCCGCACAAGCGGUGGAGCAUGUGGUUUAAUUCGAUGAUACGCGAGGAACCUUACCAGGGCUUAAAUGUAGUGGGACAGGCUUGGAAACAGGCCCUUCUUCGGACUCAUUACAAGGUGCUGCAUGGUUGUCGUCAGCUCGUGCCGUGAGGUGUCAGGUUAAGUCCUAUAACGAGCGCAACCCCUGUUGUUAGUUGCCAGCGAGUAAUGUCGGGAACUCUAACAAGACUGCCGGUGCAAACCGUGAGGAAGGUGGGGAUGACGUCAAAUCAUCACGGCCCUUACGUCCUGGGCUACACACGUGCUACAAUGGCCGGUACAGAGAGCAGCCACUGGGCGACCAGGAGCGAAUCUAUAAAGCCGGUCACAGUUCGGAUUGGAGUCUGCAACCCGACUCCAUGAAGCUGGAAUCGCUAGUAAUCGGAUAUCAGCCAUGAUCCGGUGAAUACGUUCCCGGGCCUUGUACACACCGCCCGU
Molecule: ribosomal RNA, 496 nt
Filed under: uncultured bacterium
Lineage: Bacteria
Description: partial 16S ribosomal RNA
Rfam family: Bacterial small subunit ribosomal RNA
Source: RNAcentral